This 571-nucleotide ribosomal RNA is filed under the name uncultured bacterium. RNAcentral describes it as "bacterial SSU rRNA". It matches the Rfam family "Bacterial small subunit ribosomal RNA", at positions 376 to 943 of the family's 1533-position model. The record is from RNAcentral.
UGGGCACCUGAUCAUUCAUGCCGCGUGAGUGAAGAAGGCCUUCGGGUUGUAAAGCUCUUUUGUCAGGGAAGAAACAGCAGCUCUAACACAGUCUGCGAAUGACGGUACCUGAAGAAUAAGCACCGGCUAACUACGUGCCAGCAGCCGCGGUAAUACGUAGGGUGCGAGCGUUAAUCGGAAUUACUGGGCGUAAAGCGUGCGCAGGCGGUUUUGUAAGCCAGAUGUGAAAUCCCCGGGCUUAACCUGGGAAUGGCGUCUGUGACUGUAUAGCUAGAGUGUGUCAGAGGGGGGUGGAAUUCCACGUGUAGCAGUGAAAUGCGUAGAUAUGUGGAGGAACACCAGUGGCGAAGGCAGCCCCCUGGGAUAACACUGACGCUCAUGCACGAAAGCGUGGGGAGCAAACAGGAUUAGAUACCCUGGUAGUCCACGCCCUAAACGAUGCUGACUAGUUGUUGGGAAUCUACAUUCUCAGUAACGUAGCUAACGCGUGAAGUCAGCCGCCUGGGGAGUACGGUCGCAAGAUUAAAACUCAAAGGAAUUGACGGGGACCGCACAAGCGGUGGAUGAUGUG